GGGAUCGCCCUUCCUACGGGAGGCAGCAGUAAGGAAUAUUGGUCAAUGGAGGCAACUCUGAACCAGCCAUGGCGCGUGCAGGAAGACUGCCCUAUGGGUUGUAAACUGCUUUUGUACGGGAAUAAACCUUGAUUCGUGAAUCAAGCUGAAUGUACCGUAAGAAUAAGGAUCGGCUAACUCCGUGCCAGCAGCCGCGGUAAUAAGGGCGAUCCAAUCA
Molecule: ribosomal RNA, 217 nt
Filed under: uncultured bacterium
Lineage: Bacteria
Description: partial 16S ribosomal RNA
Rfam family: Bacterial small subunit ribosomal RNA
Source: RNAcentral